This 200-nucleotide ribosomal RNA is filed under the name uncultured bacterium. RNAcentral's name for it is "partial 16S ribosomal RNA". It matches the Rfam family "Bacterial small subunit ribosomal RNA", at positions 524 to 723 of the family's 1533-position model. The record is from RNAcentral.
GACAGAGGGUGCAAGCGUUGUUCGGAAUUACUGGGCGUAAAGGGCGUGUAGGCGGUUUAGUCUGUCUGAUGUGAAAUACCCAAGCUCAACUUGGGAACUGCAUUGGAUACUGCUAAACUAGAGUAUUAGAGAGGAAAGCGGAAUUCCUAGUGUAGAGGUGAAAUUCGUAGAUACUAGGAGGAACAUCUGAGGCGAAGGCG